RNAcentral lists this ribosomal RNA (449 nucleotides) under uncultured bacterium. RNAcentral's name for it is "partial 16S ribosomal RNA". It matches the Rfam family "Bacterial small subunit ribosomal RNA", at positions 29 to 523 of the family's 1533-position model. The record is from RNAcentral.
AACGAACGCUGGCGGCAGGCCUAACACAUGCAAGUCGAACGCUGCAGCAAUGCAGAGUGGCAGACGGGUGAGUAACGCGUGGGAACCUUCCCAAUGGUACGGAAUAGCCCAGGGAAACUUGGGGUAAUACCGUAUAAGCCCCAUGGGGGAAAGAUUUAUCGCCAUUGGAUGGGCCCGCGUCGGAUUAGCUAGUUGGUGAGGUAACGGCUCACCAAGGCGACGAUCCGUAGCUGGUUUGAGAGAAUGACCAGCCACACUGGGACUGAGACACGGCCCAGACUCCUACGGGAGGCAGCAGUGGGGAAUCUUGGACAAUGGGCGAAAGCCUGGUCCAGCCAUGCCGCGUGAGUGACGAAGGCCUUAGGGUUGUAAAGCUCUUUUGGCGGGGACGAUAAUGACGGUACCCGCAGAAUAAGUCCCGGCUAACUUCGUGCCAGCAGCCGCGGUAA